CGGCAACAGCUCAAAUUUGAAAUCUGGCUUCGGCCCGAGUUGUAAUUUGUAGAGGAAGCUUUAGGCGCGGCACCUUCUGAGUCCCCUGGAACGGGGCGCCAAAGAGGGUGAGAGCCCCGUAUAGUUGGAUGCCUAGCCUGUGUAAAGCUCCUUCGAC
This 157-nucleotide ribosomal RNA is filed under the name Achaetomiella gracilis. RNAcentral describes it as "Collariella gracilis partial large subunit ribosomal RNA". It matches the Rfam family "Eukaryotic large subunit ribosomal RNA", at positions 99 to 261 of the family's 3401-position model. Lineage: Eukaryota; Fungi; Ascomycota; Sordariomycetes; Sordariales; Chaetomiaceae. The record is from RNAcentral.